Molecule: long non-coding RNA, 404 nt
Filed under: Androctonus crassicauda
Lineage: Eukaryota; Metazoa; Arthropoda; Arachnida; Scorpiones; Buthidae
Source: RNAcentral
CGUCAUGAAAACGCCGAUGAUUUGCUUUCUUCUUUUAAAUCUUUUUAUUUCAUCUUCUGCGAGGAGUCUUACAAGAUCGCAAGAGCCAAAUUAUAUUUAUUCCGAAUCUGAAGAGAGCUAUUAUGAUCCAUAUAUUGCCAACGAACAAUUCAUUCCUUAUAGAAGUCCCAUGCAUAAACGCAUUGCAAUGGGCGUAGACUUGGCAGAUUAUUUGAUUCACAGAGUUAAAGAACCAGAUUUAAUGAAACAGAUGGUGCAAUAUGGACGAAGAUAAAAUGUUUCGAUUUAAGAGAUUUUUCACAUUUAAAAAGAUGUGGAGAAAGAGAUUCAAAUAAAAAAGAUAAAUGUCAGAAUAUGAACUCUAUAUAAACAUCCAUUUUUCUCUUUAGAUAAGAGCAUUACAA